Non-coding RNA from Pelobates cultripes (western spadefoot toad), 273 nucleotides. The record is from the annotation of a GenBank genome assembly. Lineage: Eukaryota; Metazoa; Chordata; Amphibia; Anura; Pelobatidae.
CCGUGUGAAUAUGUUUAACGCUAUGAAUCUGUGGCAGAAUCCUGUUACUUUAAUCAGAGCGCUUAACCUGUUGUGCCGUAAGCUACCAAUACCAUAUUGACAUGUACUGAGCGAGAGCCUGAGUUGCUUAACACAUAGCAUGACUAACCUGUUAUAUUGUACACAUGAAACCUACCAUUUGAGCAAUUACUAACUGACCGUAACACCCAUUUCUUAAACAAUUGCUUGUAAUACUAUGUUUACUUGACGUUUCAAAAACAAAAAAUAUCUGGC